GACGAACGCUGGCGGCGUGCUUAACACAUGCAAGUCGAACGGAAAGGCCCUGCUUUUGUGGGGUGCUCGAGUGGCGAACGGGUGAGUAACACGUGAGUAACCUGCCCUUGACCUUGGGAUAACUUCAGGAAACUGGGGCUAAUACCGGAUAGGAGCUCCUGCUGCAUGGUGGGGGUUGGAAAGUUUCGGCGGUUGGGGAUGGACUCGCGGCUUAUCAGCUUGUUGGUGGGGUAGUGGCUUACCAAGGCUUUGACGGGUAGCCGGCCUGAGAGGGUGACCGGCCACAUUGGGACUGAGAUACGGCCCAGACUCCUACGGGAGGCAGCAGUGGGGAAUAUUGCACAAUGGGCGGAAGCCUGAUGCAGCAACGCCGCGUGCGGGAUGACGGCCUUCGGGUUGUAAACCGCUUUCGCCUGUGACGAAGCGUGAGUGACGGUAAUGGGUAAAGAAGCACCGGAUAACUACGUG
This 468-nucleotide ribosomal RNA is filed under the name uncultured bacterium. RNAcentral's name for it is "partial 16S ribosomal RNA". It matches the Rfam family "Bacterial small subunit ribosomal RNA", at positions 28 to 507 of the family's 1533-position model. The record is from RNAcentral.